This 203-nucleotide microRNA precursor is filed under the name Oryza sativa Japonica Group (Japanese rice). RNAcentral describes it as "MIR812 microRNA precursor family". It matches the Rfam family "MIR812 microRNA precursor family". Lineage: Eukaryota; Viridiplantae; Streptophyta; Magnoliopsida; Poales; Poaceae. The record is from Rfam by way of RNAcentral.
AAAAAAACAAACCAUGUUUUCCGUGUCACGUUUGACCGUUCGUCUUAUUUAAAAAAAUUAUGAAAAAAAUUAAAAAAACAAGUCAUGCAUAAAAUAUUAAUUAUGGUUUAUCAUCUAACAAUAAUGAAAAUACGAAUUAUAAAAAAAUUUCAUAUAAAACGGACAGUUAAAGUUGGACACGGAAACCCAGGGUUUGUCUUUUU